GACGAACCGAGCGAACGUUAUUCGGAAUCACUGGGCUUAAAGGGUGCGUAGGCGGGCUGUCAAGUCUGGGGUGAAAUCCCACGGCUCAACCGUGGAACUGCCUUAGAUACUGAUGGCCUCGAGGAAGGUAGGGGCAUGCGGAACUGUAGGUGGAGCGGUGAAAUGCGUUGAUAUCUACAGGAACUCCGGUGGCGAAAGCGGCGUGCUGGACCUUUUCUGACGCUGAGGCACGAAAGCUAGGGGAGCAAACGGG
This 253-nucleotide ribosomal RNA is filed under the name uncultured bacterium. Its description in RNAcentral is "partial 16S ribosomal RNA". It matches the Rfam family "Bacterial small subunit ribosomal RNA", at positions 524 to 776 of the family's 1533-position model. The record is from RNAcentral.